GCGCCCGUAGCUCAGUGGGACAGAGCACUGGUCUUCGGAACCAGGUGUCGCGGGUUCGAAUCCUGCCGGGCGCGCCA
RNAcentral lists this transfer RNA (77 nucleotides) under Dehalococcoidia bacterium. Its description in RNAcentral is "tRNA-Arg". It matches the Rfam family "tRNA". Rfam says of the family: Transfer RNA (tRNA) molecules are approximately 80 nucleotides in length. The record is from RNAcentral. Lineage: Bacteria; Bacillati; Chloroflexota; Dehalococcoidia.